CCCUGCCUUUUGUACACACCGCCCGUCGCUACUACCGAUGGAGUGUUUUAGUGAGGCCUCGGGACUGGCUUUGACUGGCAUUGCCUGAUAAGCUGGGAACUUGGUCAAACUUGAAUACUUAGAGGAAGUAAAAGUCGUAACAAGGUUUCC
This 150-nucleotide ribosomal RNA is filed under the name uncultured eukaryote. RNAcentral describes it as "partial small subunit ribosomal RNA". It matches the Rfam family "Eukaryotic small subunit ribosomal RNA", at positions 1651 to 1804 of the family's 1831-position model. The record is from RNAcentral.